CGUGCUUAACACAUGCAAGUCGAACGGAGCUUACUUAACUGAUUUCUUCGGAAUGAUGUUUUUUAAAGUUAGUGGCGGACGGGUGAGUAACGCGUGGGUAACCUGCGUUACACAGGGGGAUAGCAGUUGGAAACGACUGGUAAUACCGCAUACCUUACAUUAUGCGCAUGUUUGAUGUAAGAAAGAUUUUAUCGGUGUAAGAUGGACCCGCGUCUGAUUAGCUAGUUGGUGUGGUAACGGCAUACCAAGGCGACGAUCAGUAGCCGGCCUGAGAGGGUGAUCGGCCACAUUGGGACUGAGAUACGGCCCAGACUCCUACGGGAGGCAGCAGUGGGGAAUAUUGCACAAUGGAGGCAACUCUGAUGCAGCGACGCCGCGUGAGUGAAGAAGUAUUUCGGUAUGUAAAGCUCUAUCAGUAGGGAAGAUAAUGACGGUACCUACAGAAGAAGCCCCGGCUAAAUACGUGCCAGCCGCCGCAGUAA
RNAcentral lists this ribosomal RNA (482 nucleotides) under uncultured bacterium. Its description in RNAcentral is "partial 16S ribosomal RNA". It matches the Rfam family "Bacterial small subunit ribosomal RNA", at positions 43 to 523 of the family's 1533-position model. The record is from RNAcentral.